AUGGGUAUUUUUAAGUUUCCGGCUUCCCUUUGUGAGGAGUUAACCCAGAUUAUCAAGAAUUUUUGGUGGGGAAAUGAGGAAGAUAGAAGAAAAACACAUUGGUUAGCAUGGGACAAAUUAAGAAGGUCUAAAGGUAAGGGAGGUAUGGGAUUCCGGGAUCUCAGAUUAUUUAACCAAGCCCUCUUAGCCAAACAAGCAUGGAGGUUAUUGGUUUAUCUGGAUUCGUUGUGUGCUAAGCUGAUGAAGGCAAAGUAUUACCCUCAGGGACAUAUUCUUGAUAUAGUGUUUCCUCAGUUUGCAUCACUCACUUGGCAAGGUAUUAUGCAUGGUCUGGAAUUACUUAAUAAUGGUGUCAUUUGGCGGGUGGGUGAUGGAUCUAGUAUUAAUAUUUGGAGGGAUAAUAGGUUAUCCAGGAGCACUAGCCUUAAAAUUUCGACUAAAAGGCAUAAUACUAGAUUGAGAUGGGUCUCUGAUUUGUUCUUGAGCGGGAGAAAGGUAUGGGAUGAAAAUUUGAUUAAGUACCUUUUCUAUCCCCAUGAUGCAGAGGAGAUUCUCAAGAUUCAUAUUCAUGCUUAUGGGGAUGGGGAUUUUAUUGCGUGGCACUAUGAGAAGAAUGGUAUAUUUUCUGUUAAAAGU
RNAcentral lists this ribosomal RNA (636 nucleotides) under Triticum aestivum (bread wheat). RNAcentral describes it as "partial small subunit ribosomal RNA". Lineage: Eukaryota; Viridiplantae; Streptophyta; Magnoliopsida; Poales; Poaceae. The record is from RNAcentral.